Non-coding RNA from Oryctolagus cuniculus (rabbit), 5078 nucleotides. The record is from RefSeq and is a predicted model, not a curated record. NCBI's taxonomy places the organism in Eukaryota, Metazoa, Chordata, Mammalia, Lagomorpha, Leporidae.
UUUAUUUAUUUGAGAGGCAGAGUUACAUAGAGGCAGAAGCAGAGAGAGAGAGAGAGAGAGAGAAAGAGAAAAAGUCUUCCAUUUGAUGGUUCACUCUCCAAAUACCUGCAACUGCCAGAGCUGGGCUGAUCUGAAGCCAGAAACCAGGAGGAGUUUCCUCAGGGUCCACCAUGCAGGUGCAGGGGCCCAAGGACUUGGGCCAUCUUCUACUGCUUUCCCAGGCCAUAGCAGAGAGCUGGAUUGGAAGUGGAGCAGCCAGAAUGCAAACUGGCACCCAAAUGGGAUGCCACCACUGCAGGCGACGGCAUUACCUGCUACAGCACAGCACCAGCUCCCCCAAAUUUAAUAUUCUUUAAAGAAAAUUUGUAGCAACUUCGUGGUGAAAAACCAUUAUUUUUGCACAUGUUUUUGAUUUCUUUACUUUCAGUGUACUCAAUUAAGCAUUUUGAGAAUAUGCCAUUGAUUAUUCCAAGGCAGAUGUACAUCCGGGAUAACUCUUGGGUAUGUCAUGAAUCAUCAUCAUCCUGGAAACAGCCACCUACAUGUAAAUUCUCUUUUCUUUAUUUUAUAACCACAGAAUGUGUAAAACCAGAAACCACAAUUCACAUAUCCUCAUUCAAACAAGACCAUGCUGGACGAAGGCUCCUGGAAAAGUACAUGGCCAUGACUCAGUUUCAAACUGGGCCAAACUGCCUUAGUUCAGUGUCACUAUAGACUUGAAGAAGCAUGUACACCAUCCCCUGAGCAGCGUGCUUCUCUCACGGAUGCGAAACUACUCUGCUCCAUUCUCAAGAUUCAUGUACAGAAGAAGAAAAGAAAACCUCAUGUUUAGGAGUUUACUUCUUUCAGUGUUACUUAAUGAGGAUGAAACCACUUCAAAAUGCCAGAGUGAAUCUCCCUGCAAACCGGGAAGGAUUGGGAAACUUGAAGGGAAGAAGUGUGUCACCCUCAUUUUCCAUCAGUGGCACAGGGCAGAAUGACUGACACACAGUGAGUGAUUAAUAAAGAGCAGCACAGUUAGUAUUUCCCAGUUUUGUGACCAUCACUCAAGUGUUAUAGUUCCCAGCUACACUGAUUUGUCUGCCUUUUCAAUCAUAUUAAACUUAUACCACAAAACCUUAUUUUUGAUAGUAUGUUCUAGAAAAGCUAUUAAGAAUUUUAAAAUAUUAAUCCUAGGAGAAGAAACCUCAAUCCUUGGAUAAGAAACCCAAAACACAGGCAAAACAAAGUUAAAAUUGACCAGUGGGUUGUAUCAAAUUAAGAAUUUCAUUUCUGCACAGCAAAGAAACAGUCAUUAGGUUGAGAAACAACAGACAGAAUGGGAAAAAUAUUUGUAAUUUCAUCAGAUAAAGGCUUCAUGUAAAGAAAUAUGUAAGGAACUGAAAAAUCAUAUCUCACCAAUAACAAAACAAAUAAUCCAUUAACAAAUAUGGGCAGACAGAAGGGACAUUGUGGCACAGCAGAUUCUCCACUUCUGAUCCAGCUUCCUGCUUAAGUGUACACUGAGAGGCAGCAGAAGAUGUCCCAAGUGCUUGAGUCUCUGCCACCCAAAUAGAAAACCUAGAUGUAGUUUCUGGCUCCUGGUUUCAGCCUGACCCAGCCCCAGAUAUUGCAGGCAUUUGGGGUGUGAACCAGAAAAUACAUCUCUUUCAUUCUUUCUUGCUUUGCCUUUCAAAUAAAUGAAAAUUAAUAAACUUUAAAAAAAGAGUGACUACAUAUUCUAUUGGGUCAGAGGUCAGAGAGGUUCCACAUAUGUUUUUAAAAAGUGGGAAGAUGAUCUGAAUAGAUAGUUCUCCUAAGGAGAAAUAUAAACAGCCAAGAUUUAUAUGAAAAAUACACAGUAUCACUUGCCAAUAGAGAAAUGCAAAUCAAAGCCAAAAUGAAGGGGCUGGUGCCGUGGCAUACUGGUGUAGUUGCCACCUGCAGUGCUGGCAUCCCAUAUGGGUGCCGAUUCCAAGUCCAGGCUGCUCUAUUUCAAAUCCAGCUCUCUGCUGUGGCCUGGCAAAGCAAUGGAAGAUGGCCCAAAGGUACCCAGAAGAAGCUCCUGGCUCCUGGCUUCAGAUCGGCACAGCUUGGCCAUUGUGGUCAUCUGGGAAGUGAACCAGCAGCAGAUAGAAGAACUCUCUCUCUGCCUCUCUAUAACUCUGCCUUUCAGAUAAAUAAAUAAAUUUAAAAAAUUUUUAAAACACACAAUGAAGGGCCGGCGCAGCAGCUCACUAGGCUAAUCCUCUGCCUUGCGGCGCCGGCACACCGGGUUCUAUUCCCGGUCGGGGUGCCGGAUUCUGUCCCAGUUGCCCCUCUUCCAGGCCAGCUCUCUGCUGUGGCCAGGGAGUGCAGUGGAAGAUGGCCCAAGUGCUUGGGCCCUGCACCCCAUGGGAGAACAGGAUAAGUACCUGGCUCCUGCCAUCGGAUCAGCGCGGUGCACCGGCUGCAGCACGCCGGCCGCGGUGGCCAUUGGAGGGUGAACCAACAGCAAAAGGAAGGCCUUUCUCUCUGUCUCUCUCUCUCACUGUCCACUCUGCCUGUCAAAAAAACCACACACACACACACACACACACACACACAAUGAAGUAUCAUCUCACCUUAGUUAGAAUAGCUAUCAAAAAAGCCAAAAUUAAUACUUUAAAGGAUUUGAAGAAAAUGGAAAACUUACAUACUGUUGUUAGAAAUGUAAAUUAACACAGCCAUUAUGGAAAACAGUGUGAGGAUUCCUCAAACCACUAGAAAUAGAAUGAGCAUAUAAUUUAGCUUUCCCAGUACUGGGUAAGUUUUCAAAGAACAUGAAAUCAGCUUAUCAAAGAGAUACCUACAAUCCAAUGGUCACUGCAGCACCAUUCAUAACAGGCUAGAUAUGGAAUCAACCAAGGUAUCCAUUUCUGGAUGAAUGGAUUAAGAAAAUGUGAUAUAUGUAUGUACACAAAGGAAUAAUAUUCAGUCAUAAAAAUAAUGAAAUUCUGACAUUUGCAAUAAAAUGCAUAGAACAGGAAGAUGUUAUGUUAAGCAGAACAGACAAAUAUUGCAUGUUCUCUCUCAAGUGUAGAAGCUAAAAACACUGAAAAUGGUAGUUAUUUCUAGAAGCUAGGAAGAAUGGAGGAGAAGAGGGGUAGAAGGACCUUGGACAAUGGGUAUCAAAAUAUAUUUAGGUAGGCGUAAUAAGUUUUAUUGUUGUAAAACAAAGUAAGGUGACUGUAGUUCAUGCUAACCUAUUAUAUAUUUGAGAAGAACUAAAGGACAGGCAUUUGAAGCUUCCAAAUGUAAGGAAAUGAGGAGAUGAAAAUGUUAAUUAUCUCAAUUUGAUUAUUACAGAUUGUGCACAUGUAUUACAUGUAUGAAGACAUCACAGUUUUCCUCACAAGUAUGUAAAAAGUUAUGUGCAAUUAAAGUAAUAAGAAAGCAGUAUUUUUUAAAGAUUUAUUUUAUUUAUUUGAAAGACAGAGUUACAGAGAGAGGUAGAGACAGAGAGAGAGAGAGAGAGAGAGAGGUCUUCCAUCCACUGGUUUACUCCCCAGAUGGCUGCAACAGCCGGAGGUGUGCCGAUCCAAAGUCAGGAGCCAGGAGCUUCUUCCGCGUCUCCCACGUGGGUGUAGGGGCCCAAGCACUUGGAUCAUCUUCCACUGCUAUCCCAGGCCAUAGCAGAGAGCUAGAUUGAAGAGGAGCAGCCAGGACUAGAACUGGCGCCUAUAUGGGAUGCUGGGGCUGCAGGCCAGGGCUUUAACCCUCUGGCCAUAGUGCCAGCCCCAAGAAAGCAGUAUUGAGCAUCUUCUGAAGCCAAUGAUGAUUAUUGUUUAAAUAUCAGUGAUGCCCACUUAUCAUCCACCUACUAUGAGCCAGGCAUGUGCUAAAUGUCUCACAUACAGCGUUCCAGAAUAACAAUGACUGCUAUCAGCUCCCUGUUGCCUUCAUUUCCAGACAAAAGUACAAAGGCUGUUGAAAACACAAACUGAGCUGAGAGUUCCUGGAAGUCGGUUAUGAGACAGAAGCCCACACGUUUCUAUGGCCCAGCUUCUCUGCAUAUGCAGGAAUGAUUCAUAUUUGAGACCUCUCUGGUGAGGAAGAUGAAUUUGCCACCCUGUGCCCCACAGGAAGGCAAUGGCUUUGGUUUUUGUAGUAUUUCCCUGUGUAACUGCCUGAAGAGAAAAAAGACACACUUAUCUGGGAGAAAGGGAUACAUUUCUUCAUGCAUUCCUUUAUCCACUAAUUCUGUCACUAAUUAUUAUAUGGAGAAGCAUAAGAUAUUACUCUAUAGCCUCAGUAAGAAUAUGACAGGAAUUUAAUUACUGUAAUUUCCAAUUCUUUCCUUCUCUGAUUCGCACCACAUAUUAGCAAGUUUUAUCUAUCCUACUCCCCUAAUGUGUCCCACCUUAACCUGUUACAUUAUACUAUGACUACCUUCAUUCAAGGCCAAGCUGCUGCAGUGUCUUGCCUGUACCACAUUAAUGUUUCUAUCUGCAACCACUCUUUAUCUUCCUGUAGACCAUUUUUCACAUAGCAGCUACGGUGACUUUUGAACUGUAAAUUAGAUUGUUAGAUGUCGUUUCUUAAAAACUCUGUAGUUGUUCACUGUCACACUGAGAGUAAAAUUCACAUAUCUUAUCAAAGGCUCUUUUGGUGUGUUUCCAACCUACCUCUCAGAUGUUAUUUGUGUAUUUUCCAUUUCUCACUUUGUGCCUUGAGCAAGCUCAUUCUUGUCUCAGGGCCUUAGCAUUUGUAGUUCUUUCUGCCUGGAGCUUUAUUUCCCAGGUUCUUUGUCAUGCUGCUUCCUUCUAAAAAAAUGAGAAAACUUCAAAAAUUCAUGAAAAAUGUAAUUAAAUGAUAAGCUUUAGGGAUGGACAUUUGACCUAGCAGUUAAGAUACUCAUUCCAUAUCAGAAGGCCAGUGUUUGAUUCCUGGCUUUGUGCACAAUUCCAGCUUUCUGCUAAUGCAGACCAUGGUAGGCAACAGGUAAUGGUUCAAGAAGUUGUAUCCUUGUCACCCACAAGGGAGACCCAGACUGAAAGUUCCACUCCCAAUUUUGGCCUGGGCUAUCCUCAGCUGCUGCUUGUAUUGGGGAAUGAACCAGCGUGUAACUGGGAGUUCUC